UCGGGAAUUUUGGGCAAUGGGGGAAACCCUGACCCAGCAACGCCGCGUGAAGGAUGAAGUAUUUCGGUAUGUAAACUUCGAAAGAAUAGGAAGAAUAAAUGACGGUACUAUUUAUAAGGUCCGGCUAACUACGUGCCAGCAGCCGCGGUAAUACGUAGGGACCAAGCGUUGUUCGGAUUUACUGGGCGUAAAGGGCGCGUAGGCGGCAUGACAAGUCACUUGUGAAAUCUCUGGGCUUAACCCAGAACGGCCAAGUGAUACUGUCGCGCUAGAGUGCAGAAGGGGCAAUCGGAAUUCUUGGUGUAGCGGUGAAAUGCGUAGAUAUCAAGAGGAACACCUGAGGUGAAGGCGGCCACCUGGUUGGAUACUGACGCUGAGACGCGAAAGCGUGGGGAGCAAACAGGAUUAGAUACCCAUGUAGUCCCUGAGCGGGCUGGCAAGGCGCAU
RNAcentral lists this ribosomal RNA (447 nucleotides) under uncultured bacterium. Its description in RNAcentral is "bacterial SSU rRNA". It matches the Rfam family "Bacterial small subunit ribosomal RNA", at positions 355 to 825 of the family's 1533-position model. The record is from RNAcentral.